AUUAUCAUCUCCCUCUACAUUGUCAAAGGCGGCUUUCCCGGUUAACAUCUUUAUAGCUAUUUCGGAAACUUCAACAAACCACUCAUCCUCUGAUGGCGAGAUAAGUAACGGCCUUGGGAUGAAAAUAUCAUCACAAAUUGCAUGUCCAAAUAAAGCUGCACAAAUUAUCAUCUAUGAGUCUGAUAUCAUUUUAGGCUACAAAAGUUAAUUUUGAAAGAGGUUCUUUCUAAUGCUCAUUGAGCAUAGAGAAACUUUAAUUCACAGUUAUUUGGAAUCACUCUCAACUAGUGGCUGUGAUACUCAAUGAACUCAUUCAAGUGACUACCUGUUGAAG
Molecule: long non-coding RNA, 334 nt
Organism: Lotus japonicus
Lineage: Eukaryota; Viridiplantae; Streptophyta; Magnoliopsida; Fabales; Fabaceae
Exons: 3
Source: RefSeq, a predicted model, not a curated record